RNAcentral lists this ribosomal RNA (497 nucleotides) under uncultured bacterium. RNAcentral describes it as "partial 16S ribosomal RNA". It matches the Rfam family "Bacterial small subunit ribosomal RNA", at positions 28 to 507 of the family's 1533-position model. The record is from RNAcentral.
GAUGAACGCUGGCGGCGUGCCUAAUACAUGCCAGUCGAGCGAACAGAUGAGGAGCUUGCUCCUCUGACGUUAGCGGCGGACGGGUGAGUAACACGUGGAUAACCUACCUCUAAGACUGGGAUAACUUCGGGAAACCGGAGCUAAUACUGGAUAAUAUAUUGAACCGCAUGGUUCAAUAGUGAAAGACGGUUUUGCUGUCACUUAUAGAUGGAUCCGCGCCGCCUUAGCUAGUUGGUAAGGUAACGGCUUACCAAGGCGACGAUGCGUAGCCGACCUGAGAGGGUGAUCGGCCACACUGGAACUGAGACACGGUCCAGACUCCUACGGGAGGCAGCAGUAGGGAAUCUUCCGCAAUGGGCGAAAGCCUGACGGAGCAACGCCGCGUGAGUGAUGAAGGUCUUCGGAUCGUAAAACUCUGUUAUUAGGGAAGAACAAAUGUGUAAGUAACUAUGCACGUCUUGACGGUACCUAAUCAGAAAGCCACGGCUAACUACGUG